Long non-coding RNA from Pelobates fuscus (common spadefoot toad), 2216 nucleotides. RefSeq lists it as uncharacterized. The transcript is spliced from 4 exons. NCBI's taxonomy places the organism in Eukaryota, Metazoa, Chordata, Amphibia, Anura, Pelobatidae. The record is from RefSeq and is a predicted model, not a curated record.
UGCAGAUUAUUGCAGACUAAGCAGUCUGGCUCUGCAGCAACACAAGGAGAAGGCUCUGGGAAAGGAGCCAGAGUCCAUGAGAAAUUAGCUCAUUGAUUCAGAAUCUACAUCACAGGCACAGCCCUGCCUUGGACAGAGGGGAGGGCACACAUACUUUCUUACACCCUUCUUUUAGGGGCUGCACCUCUUCCUAGAAGUCCAGUCACUUCUCUCCAGGAGAAGAACCCUUUGCACAGAAUGCCCCCCUCAAAGCCACCCUUCUGCUAACUAUGUAGAACUAAAGGACCGAGAGAGUGGAGGAGCAGAGAGCAGGGCUACUGCCUACUGUUCUACUUGUGCCGAUGGCUACCAUGCAGUCCCAUGGCUGCUGGCAGAUUAUUAAAAUGGACUACAGACCAAGUUUAACAAUCUGCUGCAACCGGGAUCCAUUCGAAACCAAGUUGAAAGAUGGGAGAUAUCCAGAGGGAUAUAUUCCACUUUCUGCAGAAGUCAAUCACAAGUAGAACAGUGAGGCUGGAUCGUCCCUGACUCCAGGAAAUGGCUGCAAACAUCAUUUUACAUAAAUUUAAAUUACCUCUUCCUUUUUUUUAAAUCAUAUAUCUUCCAUGUGUAGUGCAUUUGGUUUCUGGUUCUUGAAACGGUCAUGAUGUCAUAUAUUGGGAAAUGUUGUUCCUCUGUAAAUCAUCAAGUGUAAGAAUCUACGGGACUCUGAGCCUUGCUAUAGACUAAGAAUUAUGAUGGACAAAACGUACCAUAAAUCAGUUGUAACAGACCUGGUAAAGGAAAUAGUUUCACACUGUGAAAUCCACAAAUACACCAAGCACAGGUGGGCCUUGUAGUCUGUAUCUACCACAGCAAUUUCUUCCAUAACUCACACAAUACAGUUAAAAAAAAAAAUACUUAGACUUCGUUUAUCUAGAAAUACAGUAUCCUCGCAGAGGCUAAGAGUCCCCCUGUUAUAUAUUAUUUUCACUUAGAUGUAGCAUAACUUAGUUUUAAUUUUUUUUCAUCCAUUGUCUGUAUAUCUCUAUAUUUUAUUCAUGUACACUUUUAAUGUAUAGAAAUAGUUGUUUGAAACACAUUGUUUCCUUGUGGUGACAGAGAAGCUGCCACGGGACAUGAGACACUGAUGAAUGGUGCUAUUUUGGGAUUUUUAAACAUUGCCCCUUGGCAAGGUAGCUCUGAUGGGAGUUAUUUUUUAUUUUGUUUUAUUUUCAUGUUCUGAGAAAGGUAUUGGGUAUUCUUCUGAUUGUCGUUCUUUAGCUGGGACUGACUUUUCGUCUUUGUUGUAGCUUUUUUAAUUCCGUCUUUUAGGAUAAAUAACUGCUAACAGAGCAAGUGAGAAAAAGUAUUUUUUUUAAAUUAUUCUUUAAAUUCCGGGUGGAUUCACCAACAAGUAACCGUUGUAAUGGGAGCAAUCACAAAACUGUAAUUUGCCUAAAUAUUUUAUCUACGACCCAUUUUUACAUGAGAGAGGAAAAAAAAAAGCAAUAAAUGUUUAGUAACCUCGUUGAAAUAUUUUUUUCAAUUUUUCUGUUUUAAUUAUUUUUUUUCAAUUUUUGUUUAGAUGGCACACUUUUAAAUAAAGAGAGGGGCAGGUUUCUGAAUGUCCUGUGGUUUGCGAAAGCGAUUACUUUUAAGAGUGAGGCAGCUAGUAAUAUUAAAAUUAUAUAUUUUAAUUUUUAAAGAUGAGAAAAAAAAAAAAAAACAUUACAAAAUCAUUUCAAAAUCUUACACUUUUGUUCUUGCUCCCCGUGACAAAACAAUUCGGUAACCUUCUCAUGGAAUGUUGUUGUGUUAGACAUAAUCUGGAAGCCCACCUUAAUUUCUUUUUCCCUAUGAAUCUGUCUUUUGCUCUUCCUUCGCAGUCCAGAUAAUCUACUGAACUGUUUUCUUGCUUUUGACUGUUAUAUAAAAGUGCAUGCUUUAACAGUUUUCUAUUUUUUUUUCCAUUUACCUUUUUUAUUUUUUUUUUGUUUAUUUUUUUUUAGUGUCAUGUUGUACAAUUAGAAUAUAUGAGCUGAGCUGUAAAUAGUAGAGCAAUUAAUCAAUAUUAAGCAGUUGUGGCAUUUAUGUAUGGUCGCAGUUGUGUAUCGAUAAAAAGGCAAGCUUUUGUAAUUAAUGUGAUCUCUAAUGAUGCACUACACGUACCCAAUGUAUUUGAACUAUUUUAGUAGAAUUUGGUCAAUAAAUAUGCAAGCUCGAACGAUAUUAAA